UGGGGAAUAUUGGACAAUGGGGGCAACCCUGAUCCAGCCAUGCCGCGUGAGUGAAGAAGGCCUUCGGGUUGUAAAGCUCUUUCAGAUGCGAAGAUGAUGACGGUAACAUCAGAAGAAGCCCCGGCUAAUUUCGUGCCAGCAGCCGCGGUAAUACGAAAGGGGCUAGCGUUGUUCGGAUUUACUGGGCGUAAAGGGCACGCAGGCGGUCUUGCCAGUCAGGGGUGAAAGCCCGAGGCUCAACCUCGGAACUGCCUCUGAUACUGUAAGACUUGAGACUAGGAGAGGGUGGUGGAAUUCCCAGUGUAGAGGUGAAAUUCGUAGAUAUUGGGAGGAACACCAGAGGCGAAGGCGGCCACCUGGACUAGAUCUGACGCUCAGGUGCGAAAGCGUGGGGAGCAAACAGG
Molecule: ribosomal RNA, 404 nt
Filed under: uncultured bacterium
Lineage: Bacteria
Description: bacterial SSU rRNA
Rfam family: Bacterial small subunit ribosomal RNA
Source: RNAcentral